UCGAGAAUCUUCGGCAAUGGGCGAAAGCCUGACCGAGCGACGCCGCGUGUGGGAUGAAGGCCUUCGGGUUGUAAACCACUGUCAGAGGGGAUGAAAUACAGGUGGGUUCUCCCAUCUGCUUGACAUAGCCUCAGAGGAAGGACGGGCUAAGUUCGUGCCAGCAGCCGCGGUAAGACGAACCGUCCAAACGUUAUUCGGAAUUACUGGGCUUAAAGGGUGCGUAGGCGGCGCGGAAAGUAGGGUGUGAAAUCCCUCGGCUCAACCGAGGAACUGCGCCCUAAACUACCGUGCUUGAGGGAGAUAGAGGUGAGCGGAACUUAGGGUGGAGCGGUGAAAUGCGUUGAUAUCCUAAGGAACACCGGUGGCGAAAGCGGCUCACUGGAUCUCUUCUGACGCUGAGGCACGAAAGCUAGGGUAGCGAACGGGAUUAGAUACCCGCGUAGUCC
RNAcentral lists this ribosomal RNA (446 nucleotides) under uncultured bacterium. RNAcentral's name for it is "bacterial SSU rRNA". It matches the Rfam family "Bacterial small subunit ribosomal RNA", at positions 355 to 796 of the family's 1533-position model. The record is from RNAcentral.